GAGGCUGGCAUUUUUUCAUUGGGGAAUCAGAGAAUUGGUAAGUUACCACUUCAAUUCUUCACUUUAGAAAUUGGUAUAGAUGCCCAAUCGCUAAUGGGUUUAUUAGGUUUUAGUUUUUCCAUAGUUUCACUCACUCCUUCGCUCGCUUCCUCUCCUCCCUCUCUCCCUCUCCUUCCUUGUCAUCUUCCUUCCCUCCCUCAUCCUUUCGCCAGAAGGAGGAGUUUAGUGUUACGUGUACGAAAUCUUGGGUAUAAGAGUGAAUCACAACUUUGUGAGUUGAUGGAACCGGGGAAGGAGAAAUCAUCUGAGCUUUAUCGGAAUCUUUAUGAACCAAUUGAGCCGUAUAGUACUGGUUUUUUGAAGGUUUCUGAUCUUCACACUAUCUACUAUGAGCAGUCCGGAAAUCCCAGCGGGCAUCCGGUUGUCUUUCUUCAUGGAGGCCCUGGAGGAGGAACCACACCAAGUAAUCGUAGAUUUUUCGAUCCAGAAUUUUACCGAAUAAUUCUAUUUGAUCAGAGGGGUGCAGGAAGGAGUACACCUCAUGCUUGCUUAGUGGAAAACACCUCAUGGGACCUCAUUGCUGACAUUGAAAAGCUAAGAGAACACUUGGAGAUUCCAGAAUGGCAGGUCAAAAUAUUUUUCUGAUUCUUAGAAAGGAAAUUUGAUGUUAACUUUUUGUGGUGGAUGUUAAUCUUCUUCUACCAUACAGGUAUUUGGUGGGUCAUGGGGAAGUACACUAGCUCUUGCAUACAGUCAAGCUCAUCCUGACAAGGUUACUGGCAUGGUCCUCAGAGGGAUCUUUCUUCUGCGAAAGAAAGAGAUUGAUUGGUUUUAUGAGGGUGGUGCUGCAGCUAUUUACCCGGAUGCUUGGGAACCAUUUAGAGAUCUUAUCCCAGAAAAUGAAAGGGGAUGUUUCAUUGAUGCUUACAGCAAGAGGUUGAACUCUGAUGAUAUGGAAACACAAUACGCAGCUGCAAGAGCAUGGACCAAAUGGGAAAUGAUGACUGCCCAUCUUCUUCCAAAUGAAGAGAACAUCAAGAGAGGGGAUGAUGAUGAUUUUUCUUUGGCAUUUGCAAGGAUUGAAAACCAUUACUUUGUGAACAAGGGCUUCUUUCCAUCAGAUUCUUUCCUAUUAGACAAUGUUCACAAAAUAAGGCAUAUAAAUACUACAAUUGUACAGGGAAGAUAUGAUGUUUGUUGUCCUAUGAUGUCUGCUUGGGAUCUUCACAAGGCUUGGCCAGAGGCAGAUUUUAAGGUUAUUGCAGAUGCAGGACAUUCUGCUAAUGAACCCGGCAUAGCUGCAGAACUUGUGGCUGCAAAUGAGAAGCUCAAAAACAUUAUAAAGAAUGGAUCCUGAAAGGAGAGGUGCAUGAAGCUGUCACGGUGUAAGAUCACAAGCAGAUACUGCGACAGAUCCUUAGGGACAUGAGUUGCUAUCAACUGAGAAGUUUGAUGCAUGCUUUUAGCCGAACAGAAUAGAUCUUGAAAAUAAUGAGGAACUGUGUUAUUCCCUAGUAUGUCUUGCUUUCUUCAAUGGAAGGGUGGAUUUUCCUAGUUGGUGUUGAAUCUUCAAUCCGUCUACCUGCUUUGCUUACUCAAACUGUGAGAAUAAUAAUAAUGUAGAUGCUUGAAGGAUCUGUGAAAUUAUAUGUCAAGUAAUGUCCAAAGAGGUCGCGAAUGAUCUGUCUCUUGAUGUUCUGGUAAAUUAUAAUCCCAUGGUGGUUUUAUUUUUUAUUUUUUAAGUUUUUGACAGGAGGCUGAAAGGUUGCAGGGUAGAAUGGUUA
This 1784-nucleotide unclassified non-coding RNA is filed under the name Hevea brasiliensis (rubber tree). Lineage: Eukaryota; Viridiplantae; Streptophyta; Magnoliopsida; Malpighiales; Euphorbiaceae. The record is from RNAcentral.